GGAAGUGGGCAGAGGAAAGGAAUGGAAGAGAAAACGGAAAGUGGGUAUAUUAAUGAGAAGGGACUUCUCGCCUAGAAGAAUGUCAUUCUUUUUCUUCCUUCCCCAAGCUAAAGAAACGUUAAAAUAGCUAGCUUCAGUUUUCGCACUGAUCAAUAAAAAAUAAUCAGUAUUUAUUAAGUUAAUAAAAAAUAGUCAGUAUUUAUUGAGUUAAUAAAAAAUAGUUAUUAUUUUAUUAUAAUAGAAAUCGAUCUCCUAUAAUAUAUGAAAGUUCGGUGUAUUUGUGCAUAUACUUCAGUCUUUAGCAUAUUAUGCUGGACCGAUAUAUUUUUUGCUGACUCCUGUAUAAUAUACGGGAGACUCGAACAUCGGUGCUCAAAACUCCAAUAUAUUAUUCUGGACAUUUGUACUUGUUGGAACAGCAUAAUUAUACUUGAACUCCCGCAUAUUAUACGGGAGUUCUAUCAUAGUUAUUCUGGAACUCCCGUAUAAUAUGCGGGAGAUUAAGCAUAUUUAUGCUGGAACUCCCGUAUAAUAUGCGAGCAUAGUUUCCGGAUUUUGAACAAUAUUUUUGCUCAGAUUUAUUUUUACAUAAAAAAUAGCUGAAUUUCGAUUACUUUUGAAAUUGGGCUAUUUUUAAAUGACCAGUUAUAAAUCUGGCUAUUUUUAAAUUUCUCCCUAAAAGAAACAUACUUAAUGGUCACAACUAAUUAUUUUCUUAGCCAAUUUUACACUAUCAUAAUAAAAACAAACAAAGGAAAAUAUUGUAUUAAGUGCAAUAGCAUAUUACAUGCACUCAUUUUUAAGCCCAUACCAAGUUGUCACAAAUAGGUUCAUAAUGACUUUUUCACAUCUCCAAUGUUGUGAUUAGCUAGCCAUGGAUGAUAUCAAAAUUUGCAAUAAAAUUUUAUCAAAUGUUCAGAAUCUUGUUUAGAGGAAGAGUGAAUUGGAGUUCUUUUUUCAUAUUAUUUAUUGUAAAUUGCAGUAAAGGACUGUUUGGUAUAGUUAUGAUAACUUUUUCAUGAAAUGAAUUAUUACUACUAUGAUUCUGAUCAUUUCUCAAUUAGUCUGAAAUAGAGUCAUAGUUGUUGUUGAUGUACUAUGAUGAAGUGACACUGAUUUUCUGCCAAUCCUUAAUGCAAAGGUAGUUUUGAUGUGCUACCUUAAUACUAUUACUUAAGAUAUGAUACACCACUAGUAAUGCACAUAAAUUUAUUAUUUUUUGCUCGAGCCUUACAUAUAUAUUAGGUAAUCAACUAUGAUUGUGAACUUACUUAUUAGUAUUAUAUAUUAACUUAAUAUUGCUAUGAGUUUUUGUGAACUUCAAAUGCUGAAUUUGUCAAGUGAGUUGCAUGAGUAUGACAUGUAGAUGUGACCUACUAUAGUACUAGUGAGUAGAGAUGUUGAUGAAUAUGAAAAUCAUUUUUUCUUUAUUCAAGGUAACUAUUAUUACCAUUACCUUUUGUUUUUGGAGGCAUUAUUGAAGGCGGUAGGGUAGUGGUAAUGUGCAACAAGAUAGAGAAUGUGAAGAAGGAAACAGAGCAGCCUUAAGUGGUAACAAGGAAUACACAGCCUGUUAUUGGCCCCAUUGUCUUGCCCAACAUAUGCCAACUUCUACUCAAUUCAGUAAAUUAAUGGCUUCUAAAAAAAAUUAUAAAUAAAUAAGGGCAUUAAGGUUUAUAUUUUAGGGGAUAACAUGUGCUAAUAUAUGUAUCGGGCGGGUCGGUUUGAGAUAAUAUGCUGAAUCAGGUAUUAAGAGCAAAAAACAAAGUCCAUUAUCACAUAUUCAUAAAGGGAUGAGGGAAAUGCUCCACCCAAAAGGUAUAAUGUAGAUAAUUUGAAUUAUUUCUACGGCUUGAAUUCGUGAUCAAUAACCACAAAAAUAUAACUUUUAUCAUUGCUUCAAGCCCGACUCUCCUUCUAGAUGCUAAUUUAAGAUUUGAAUUUUAUUAGUUUGGAUUUGGUAUGUGCCACGUUCCGUCUAAUUUAUUGAGUUUAAAAUUUACUAUUUGUACUUAUUUAGUACUCUCUUCUUCUUAUUCAUGUGGCACCAUUGAGAUGAACCGAGUUUUUCUUUAAACGUUAUUUUUUUUAUAUGUUUUUAAAUAGUUUAAAUUGUUAGUUACUAUUACUUACAAUACUUUUUAUAUAAUUUUCAAAUGUUUAAAUUUAAUUUCAAAAACUUAAAGCUUUUAUGUCCAACUUUAUCGUCAAAAUUAAGAAGUUUGACUCUUGAAAUUCGAACAAUGCCCCAUAAAUUGGGAUGUGAAGAGUAAGAUUUUUAAACACAUAAAAGAUCGUGUUAAUGUUAUCAGGAUCGGAUGAACCCGUAUUUCCUUCACUAGAUUUUCACCUUUAUCCAAUAAAAAGCAGUUUCAAAAAUAUGGUCAGCAAUGUCUUGACAUAAAAUAUAGUUGAGCUUUAUAAACAAAACGUUGGACAAAGAUUUUGGGGAGGGAGGGAGUAGCAUCUGUAACGACCCGACCGGUCAUUUUGAGCUUUAGCGCGUCGUUCAGCAGUCUGAGGCUAUGAGAAGUUUCAUUUCAGGUAUUAUGACUUGUACGCAUGGUUGGAAUUGAAUUUCGGGAAGUUCAGGGUUGAUUUGGAAAGAGAAUUCUCAUAACGAAAGCUUAAAGUUGAAAGAAUUAACUAGGAUUGAAUUUUUGAGUAAACGACCUUGGAAACGGGAUCUGAAGGUUCCAACAGGUUCGUAUGAUGAUUUCAGACUUGGGCGUAUGCCUGGAUCAUAUUUUGGAUGACCCGGGAGCGUUGUGGCGCCUAUUAUGGAAGUUAGCAUUUUGAAAGAAAUUUCAUAAGUUUGGCUUGAAGUGCAUUUCAGUGUUAUUGAUGUACGUUUGAGAUUUCGAGUCUGGAGUAGCUCCAUAUGGUGAUUCUAGAGUUGGGGGUGCGAUCAGAAGUAAAUUCGGAGGUCCGUAGGUCAUUUUUGAGUUAUUUGGCUAAAGAUAGAAAAAUUGAAGGUUUUUGAGAAGUUUGGCCGGAAGUGGACUUUUUGAUAUCUGGGUCGGAAUCCAAUUCCGGAAGUUAGAGUAGGUCCGUAUUGUUGAAUAUGACUUGUGUGCAAAAUUUGAAGUCAAUUGGACGUGAUUUGAUAGGUUUAAACAUCGAAAACUUGAAGUUUGAAAUCUAAAGUUCAUAAGGCUUGGAUUGGAGGUCGAUUCAUGAUUUUAGCGUUGUUCAAUGUGAUUUGAGGCCUCAAGGAAGUCCGUAAUAUGUUUUGGGACUUGUUGGGGUCCCGAGGGCCUCGGGUGGAUUCCGGGUGGUUAACAGAGUGACAAUAGAAUUUUGGAAAGGCUAAAGUUGAUAGUAUCUGGUAUAACCGCACCUACGAGAAUAGGGCCGCAGGUGCGGAGACGCAGAAGCGGCCCAAUAGUCAUAUAUGCGGAUUUGGAAAAGAGAGCUGGGUCGCAGAUGCGAUCAUUUGGCUGUAGAAUCGGAACCGCAUCUGCGGGACUAGAAGCGCAGAAGCGGAAAAAGGAAGAUUUGUGAAAAAAUUUCAGAAGCGGUGGAUUGGCUCGCACCUGCAGAACCACUAAAGCGGUAAAGGGACUGCAGGUGUAGAAAGUGCUGGAGGCAGAGAGGUGUUUUAAAAAUCGGGAUUUGGCCAUUUCCCCUUUUCCUUUGGCAUGGGCGAUUUUGAAGAGUUUCAAGUGGGGUUUUUCAUCAUCAACGACAAGGUAAGCUAACUCCACCUAUUUUGAGUUAAAUACACCGAUUAUGUACAGAUUUUAGCAUGUAAAUUGGUAGAAUUUUGGAGUUUUUGUUAGAAAGACCUAAAAUUUAUAUUAUGUGAAUUUAACCACGAUUUUGGAUAUGGAAUUAAGAGAAAAUCAUAUGUUUGGGUUCGUGAGUUCAUGGGUAAAUUUUAUCUUCGAUUGUUUUGGAUUCCGGGCACAUUGACCCGAGGGCAAUUUUAUCAACUUUUCGAUCAUGGUUAGGAAUUUCUAUAAAUUGUAUUCUGGUGAGUAAUUGAGCAUAUAUUAAUUUACUUGCAUAAUUGUUGGCGUGUUUUGGAGCAUUGUGUAUCGAUUCAAGUCUUCCGAAGGGCGUGGAAUGCCGGUUAUGGACCUUUGAAGCAAGGUGAGUCUUCUUUCUAACCUUGUAAGAGGGAAUCGUCCCCAUAGGUGAAAUGAUUGGUUAUAUGCUCCUGUUUGUAGGGGCUACAUACGCAUGAGGUGACAAGAGUCCGUAUGUAGCUACUAUUAUGCUAUUGUCCGGGUCGUCUAGGACCCAAAACAUGCUGUACUUGGAAGUAUUUGUAAUCCUAUUGACAGUUUGAAUUGGUUAAAUUCUAUCGAAUUGGUAAAUGAAUUUCUAAAAGGAUUAAACUUCAUUUCUUAAAUUGUUAAAAGAGAAUUGGCUUUUAUUUGGAUAAAUAUUCUCUGAUAAAUUCCUAAUUGGCUAUUUGAGCAUGUAUGUCUAUGUAUACCUGCGUUGCGUAUAUGAUUCACGAGCAGGGUAUUUGUUUAUUUUAUGUUGACCGCAUCGCAGGAUAGUUCGCGUGCGGGGUAAUAGAUGCAUCUAUGGUUCGAGCCGUUCAACCCUCGACAGUGCACAGUUUAUUUUUCUGUUGGAUCGGGCCAUACGACAUCGACAUAAUUUGCGCAUGCUUGUAUUGCUUGCCUUGAAACUUAUUGAAGUUGUUGCUGCCUCUUCCUAGCUUAAGAAUACAUGUAUGAAUGAUGAAAAGGAAAUUUGGAAAUUUCCUAUAAUGGAAAGAAUUUCUUAUUUGAUUCAACCUAUGAAUUAUAAUCAUGUUUAUAAAAAUUCACGAUUUAAUAUAUUAUGGAUAUAACAUUAUUGGACCAUUAGUAGGUAUCGGAGUUGAUCUCUCGUCUCAUACUACACUUCUGUGCAUUCUUAUUGCACAUGCAUAUGUAUCUCUAGUGGCCUACUGGGCGUAGCAGCAGGGUUGAUACAUAGACUUAGGUGAGGUGUACUUCUCAAGGCGACCCGCAGUCAGCAGAGUCUCUUUCAAUUAUUUAUAUUUAUUUUCUGUCCACUAUUGUAUUCCGGACGGUUGUUGCAUUUUAUUUCCUUCUUAGUAAAUGUUCAUGCACUUGUGACACCGGAUUCUGGGAUGAUUUUGGAUUAUUCGAUAUUUAGCUUGUUAGAUACUCCAAGGUUAUUUCUAUAAAUUUUAUUUUUUAUUAUUUAAAUGAAUAAGGAAAAAUAAUUUCAACAAAUACUAAAAUUCUAAUUUAAGUAAGUAUUUCUAGUUGACUUGCGUAACAUCGACGUCCGGCGCCACCACAAUCCCAGAAAAUUUUGGAUUGCGACAGCAUCUGACCAAAAACAAAGAUGAGCAGUAUUAUUAUUUAUUUUCGUGAGCUUGAAGCUUUAGACGCAGUCAUGUUAGAUGAAGAAUCUUUCCAAGUACUCUAAAGUAUGUUAGGAAAUAGAGAAUAUCAAAGAGGAAAAACUCAAGUGAAUGUGCAAGUGAGGAGAAAUAUGGAACUUUGUACCUCGUUGGUUGAAGACUCAUUAAUAUCGAUAAGUUUCUCUUUGUCAUAACAUAUAUAGUUAAGCUUCUUUGUAACUUAUAAUCACCGUUCACUAUUAUAUUAAGUUUUUUCCUGAAUUAAUUUUUUACGAUAUAUUUCACUUCUUUAUAAUGAUUUUUUACCUUAACACCAACAUUAUUUUUAUAACCUUAUAUAUUAUUUUGAUAAAAUUAUCCAUCUAUAACAACAAUGUCAAAUCUCUAAGAUAACUAAUAAUAAGUUUAAAGAUUUUAACAAAUAUUUUAAAACGAUAUGUACCAUGUAUUGUUGGCCCAAGUUCAGAUUGACAAAUGAACCUAGGGAAGGACACAGUUCAUCUUGAGAGACAUAGUUAGUUAUAACCAUUGCACAUGGAAGGCACGUGAGGAAGAUAUGUAUUGAAGAUUACACACCAAAUAUCUUGUGAACGGAAUCGAAAAGAUUGCAUUGAGUUUUAAGGAGGACAGUCUCCUUAAUUAUGAUAAGAGAACAUAAUCCUAAGCUAGGAUAAGGAUGUGAGUUUGUAUUGAUUAAGGACUCAAAUCGACUAAGGAUAAGCAUUGGAGUCUCGAUCAAACUCUAACUGCUAAUCUAUUAAAUACCCAAAGUAUUAUCUUCUACAGGUAAUGCUCAUACGCAGAAGUUAAGCAUAUUUGAGAGCUAAAAGAGCAAGUCUGAUUUGCAAGCAACAUAUGCGAGAUACAAGUGUGCAUAUCUGAAGCUACAUGAACUAAGAUAAAGAACCAUUUUCAUUAUUGUGUUUAUUCUAAGUCUAGUUCGAUUGUAGUAGGUUUUCAUAUUGUACCUUUCAUCUUUCUUAGAAGAAAUUGUAUUAGGUACUCUGAGCGUUCAAGUUAGAGUUAACUUGAAAGUGUCGCAACAGUUGAGGCUGUGUGCCACAUUGGGAUUAGAUUUAAUCCUUAGGUUAAAAAAGAGUUUUGUAAUUACAGUUUUUGGCUCACUAAUUUUAGUGGAGUUUGGAAAAAUCCUACUGAGUAGUAGGUCGUGGUUUUUUUACCUUUUGAACCAGGUAUUAUCCAUGUAAAAAUCCCUGUGCACUUUACUUUUAGUAUUUAUUAUUCCUCAAAUUGUUUUAGUUAGAUACUUAGAAGAACCAGGUUCUUCUAACUCGAAAAUUAGGUACCACACAAAUCACCCCCUCUCUCAUAUGGUAUUGACGUUUAUUAUAUCAAUUGGUGUCAAAGCGGAUUAUCCUUAUAAAGGUUAACACUUUAGGAAAAGAUCGACAUGAGUGCACCACCUGGGAACUGGGAAGGGCAAUCCACUGCCAGGCCUCCUCUCUUCAAUGACUCUACUACUCCUGGUGGAAAAACAGAAUGAGAGACCAUAUUAUGGGCGGAGACUAUAAGCUUUGGGAUAUCAUAACUGAUGGUCCUUUAGCCACAACCAAGAAGAAUGCUGAAGGAUUGGAUGUCCCAAAGACAAGAGCAGAUUGUACUGCUGAAGAUCUAAGGAAAUGGGAGAAAAAUACAAAAGCCAAUAAAUGUCUAGUGUGUGGACUUGGUCCUGAUGAGUACAACAGGAUUCAAGGCUGUUCUACUGCCAAGGAGAUUUGAGACACUUUACAAGUGGCUCAUGAAGGAACACCUCAGGUGAAGAGUCAAGAGGAACACUGCUGUAUUCUCAAUAUGAGAAUUUUACUAUGAAGGAUGGAGAAGCUAUCCAAGAGAUGUAUACCAAGUUCACUACACUAGCAAAUGAACUUGAGUCUUUUGGAAGGAUUAUCCUGGAAGAAGACAAGGUGGAGAAGAUUCUAACUAGAGUUCUGCCAAUCUCUUGGGAAAACAAAAUCACUGCUAUUUAGGAAUUCAAAAACAUUGCUACUUUAAAAUUGGAUUAACUGAUUGGAAAUUUUAUUGCUUAUGAAUUGAGAAGGCAAACAAUGAAGAUGAAUGCUCCAAAGAAAGAGAGAAGUCUGGCUCUUAUUAUCUUAUAAGGAUUAGAUCUUCAAGAUGAUGAAAUGGCUAUGAUAACAAAAGAUUUCAAAAGGGUCCUUCAAAAAGAACAACAUUCAACAAACCUAGGGCUCCUGAGAAACAAACCAAUGAGGGGUGUUACAAGUGUGGGAAGACUGAUCACCACAUUGGAAACUGCCCUCAGUGGGAGGUUAAAUGGAAGAAAGAAAAAGCAGAUAGAAGAAAUAGGAAGAAUGAUCAGGUUCAACCAAAAAGGAACAAAGGAUCAACUAAAGCUAUGGUUUCUGCAUGGGGAGAAACAUCAAAUGAGGACUCAGAAAAUGAAGCUGAAGAUGAGCAAGCUCUUAUGUCAUCGAAGAAUCAGAAGACGAACAAGAGGUAAGUAUUCUACAUCUUAAAGAAAAGAUUAAGUUCUUGUCUAAAAGAAAAUUGGCUGAUCUACUGAUGGACUUCAUAGAUGAGUCCGAAAUAAUAAACAGUGAGAAAGAUGUUCUGUCUAGGAAAUGUGUUAUCUUAGAAGAAAAAUGUUGAAAUAAUAAACAUUGAGAAGGAUGUUCUGUCUAGGGAAUAUGUUAUCCUAGAAGAAAACUUUAAAAGGUUAGAGUAUAGCACUGAUGAGAGUGACAACACAAAUAUUGAGUUGAAGAACCAGGUUCAUGAACUUGAAAAUAAGAUCCUAGAACUUAGAUCUGAAAAUAUUAAACUGAAAUUAGGUACAAGAAAGAAAAAGUCUAAUCAAUCAUUUCUCACUCUAGAAGAAAAUCUAGGAAAAAUAAAAGAUGAACUGUACAAGAAAUAUGAAUUGAUUAAAGUCCUAAAAGAAGAUUUAGGAAAGGUAAAUCAUGAACUAGACACAACAUGCAAAUGGAACAAGGAUUUCGAUGCACUCUGCUGGCUGCAGGAACAUCAUAUUAGCAAUAAAAGAGUACUUGGAUUUGGGACACAAGCUCCAAAAUGGGAUCCCGAAAACAAGUAUCUCACACUUCGUGAGAAUAAGAUCUGCACACACUAUGGUAAGACUGGCCAUUACAAAAAUGUAUGUAAUGCAAGAGAAAAGACCAGUCAAAAGAACAAAGCCUUUGUUCAAGAAAAGCACAAACUGCCUGGUUGGGCAAAGAAAAAUCUAAUUUAAUCUUUUGCCCAUAGAAAGGGACCCAAACUAGUUUGGGUUCCUAGGAUUAAUCCAUGAUUUCUUUUACAGGUCCAAGUAGAGGGGAAUAGCAAAAUUGUACAUGGAUAGUUGCUGCUCAAAACAUAUGAUUGGUAACAAGGACUAGUUCCUUUCACUUGAGAACCUAAAAGGAGGUAAUGUCUCCUUUGGAAAUGGAAAGAAAAGUGAGAACUUUGGAGUUGGAAAGCUAGGAAUGACAGACUCUCAUUCCAUUGAGAAUGUUUAUUUGAUAGAUGGCUUAAAAUAUAGCCUGAUAAGUGUGUCACAACUGUGUGACAGAGGUAAUCUUGUCGCUUUCACUUCCACAAAAUGUUUUGUGAUAAGCCUUACUACUGACAAGAUUGUUUGUAGGUAAGGAGAUUUAACAAUUUUUACAUUGUAGAUUUGUCAACUGUCAUUGAAAUGAACUCAUUUUCUUGAGUGUGUUAAGUAAUGAUCCCCUCCUUUGGCACAGAAGACUUGGCCAUGCCAGUCUAAAUCAAUUGAACAAAUUAGUAUCCAAGGACUUGGUGAUAGGGUUACCUAAUAUCAAGUUCAAGGAAGACAAAGUUUGUGAGGCAUGUGCAAGGGGGAAGCAAGUAAGGGCAUCCUUCAAACCUAAGAAAAUGGUAAGUACGUCCAAGAUGUUGGAGCUGGUUCAUAUGGAUCUCUAUGGUCCAAUGAGAGCCAUGAGCAGAGGUGGUAAAAGAUAUGUANNNNNNNNNNNNNNNNNNNNNNNNNNNNNNNNNNNNNNNNNNNNNNNNNNNNNNNNNNAUGUAAUGGUGCUUGUUGAUGAUUAUUCUAGAUUUACCUGGGUGCUGUUUCUAACUUCUAAAGAUGAAGCAUUUGAAAUAUUCACUACUUUUGCUAGAAAAAUCCAGAGAAAAUUAGGAAAUCAACUUGCAUCCAUUAGGUCUGAUCAUGGAACUGAAUUUGAAAAUGCAAAGUUUGCUAAAUUUUGUGAUGAAAAUGGAAUAAAUUAUAAUUUCUCUGCCCCUAGGACUUCUCAGCAAAAUGGGGUAGUUGAGAGAAAGAACAGGACCCUUGAGGAUAUGGCAAGGACCAUGCUACUUCCUAGUAAACUACCUCAUAGCUUCUGGUAAGAGGCUAUUAACACUGCUUUUAUAUAAUAAAUAGAUGCAUGACCAGACCUCUUGUAGAGAAAACUCCCUAUGAGUUACUUAANNNNNNNNNNNNNNNNNNNNNNNNNNNNNNNNNNNNNNNNNNNNNNNNNNNNNNNNNNNNNNNNNNNNNNNNNNNNNNNNNNNNNNNNNNNNNNNNNNNNNNNNNNNNNNNNNGGCUUUUGGUUGCAAGUUCUAUGUGCACAAUAAUGGCAAAGAUUCCCUUGGUAAGUUUGAUCCUAGAAGUGACGAGGGAGUAUUCUUGGGAUAUUUUUCACAUAGCAAAGCAUAUAAAAUGUUUAAUAAAAGAACUCUAUAUAUUGAAGAAAGUGUACAUGUUGUGUUUGAUGAAUCUAACACUCUUUCUGAGAGACAUGAACAUGAAGAUGAAGCCAUUGGACUAGUGAGACAAUUGACUGAAGCCACAAUACAAUUCAAGGUGGCAUCAAAGGAAUGAGAAGGUGAUGGAACAUGUCCUUUCAUACAAGGCAACCUGAUAGGCGGAACCAAUCUGAGAGAAACUGCACAAAUACUCUGAAGGAUCCUGUACCUGAACCUGUUCCUCUGCAAGAUAACAAUGAAGAAGAAACUAGCAGGAACCAGCUGGUGGGGAAAUCUUACAAGUACCUGAGUUCUCACCCCAUUGAGAACAUCAUGAAUGAUCCAACAUCUAGAGUCAAGACUAGAUCACAAUUGAAGUACCUGUGUGUAUUUGUUGCCUUUCUGUCCCUCAGUGACCUAAAAAUAUAAUCUAACAUUUGGGGUCAAGACUAGAUCACAACUGAAGAACCUAUGUGCAUUUGAUUCCUUUCUGUCCCUCAUUGACCUUAAAAAUGUGAAUAAAGCUCUACAAGAUGCAUAUUGGGUCAAUGCUAUGCAAGAUGAGCUCAAUCAGUUUGAAAGAAGCUAAGUCUGGAACUUGUUCCAAUACCUAAGGACAUGUCAUUCAUUGGGACAAAAUGGGUCUUCAGGAACAAACUAGAUGAAGAUGGAACUGUUACAAGAAACAAGGCAAGGUUGGUGGUUCAAGGCUAUAGUCGAAAGGAAGGCAUUGAUUAAGAUGAGACUAUUGCUCCAGUUGCUAGACUUGAAGCAAUUAGACUUCUUAUAGCCGUUACAAAACAUAUGGAAUUCACUCUUCAUCAAAUGGAUGUCAAAAAUGCCUUCCUAAAUAGCUAUCUCAAGGAAGAAGUGUUUUUGAAACAACCUCUAGGAUUCAAAAGCAAAGAAUGUCCUGAUCAUAUGUACAAGUUAGAUAAAACUCUCUACGGUCUCAAAAAGACCCCAAGAGCUUGGUAUGAAAGAUUGUCAAAGUUCCUUCUGGAGCAUGGGUACAAAAGAGGUAAAAUUGACAGCACUUUGUUCCUAAGGGAAAAAGGUAAAGAUCUUCUUGUUGUAUAAAUAUAUGUUAAUGACAUAAUAUUUGGGGCCACUACAGAUAGAUUUAGUAAGGACUUUGUUAAGCUAAUGGGAAGUGAGUUUGAAAUGAGCAUGAUGGGUGAACUCAAUUUCUUCUUGGGGCUACAGAUUAAAUAAAGUCCAGAUGGAACUAUGAUCCAUAAGCAGAAGUAUACAAAGGAACUAAUCAACAAGAUUAAAAUGAAAGAAUCCAAGGAAAUAGAUACACCUAUAGCAACUGCCACAAAGCUAGAUGUUGAUGAACAUGGUUAAUGAUUUGAUCAAAAGUUGUAUAGGGGUAUGAUUGGUUCACUUUUAUAUCUUACUACCAGCAGACCUGACAUGACCCGAUUCAUCAGUUGAUCAAAAGUUAUAUAGAGGUAUGAUUAGUUCACUUUUAUAUCUUACUGCCAGCAGACUUGACAUUGUUUUCAGUGUAGGACUUUGUGCUCGUUUUUAGGAAAAUCCAAAAGAGUCACAUGUGACAGUUGUCAAAAGAAUAUUGAGAUACUUGAAAGGCACAACUGAUCUGUGUCUGUGGUAUCCCAAAGGUAGUAAUUUUGACUUAAUAAGAUAUGUUGUUGCUAACUAUGCAGGUUUUCUAGUGGAUAGAAAGAGCACUUCAGGUAUGGCACACUUCCUAGGGUCUUGUCUUGUAUCUUGGGCUACCAAAAAGCAAAAUUCUAUGUCUCUCUCUACUACUGAAGCUGAAUAUGUUGCUGCUGCUUCAUGUUGUGCUCAAUUACUGUGGAUUAAGCAACAACUGGUAGACUUUGGAAUUGAAGUGGGGUGCAUAGCUGAAUAUGUUGCUGCUGCUUCAUGUUGUGCUCAAUUACUGUGGAUUAAGCAACAACUGGUAGAAUUUGUAUUUGAAGUAGGGUGCAUACCAAUAUUUUGUAUAACACUAGUGCAAUUAGUAAGACAAAGAACCAUGUUCAUCACAAAAGGACUGAGCACAUAGAUGUUAGACACCACUUAUUAAGAGACAACUAUGAGAAAAGGGCCAAUCUCCAUAGAAUUGUGUACUACUAAUGAACAAAUAGCUGGCAUAUUCACUAAGGCAUUGAGUAGAGAAAAUUUUUAAAGGAACAGGUUGAAGUUAGGGAUGAUUAAGAUCACCUAAAAGGUCCAGUUCAAAAUGCACAAUGAAAAAAAGUUUUUUUUGGCUAGGAGUUCUUAAUUUUUGUGAAUAUUAGAUUAAAUCUUACUCAGUCUCAUACUGUAAAUAGUAUACUCUUGUGACAUGUGUCUAUGCGAUUCACUAAUCUCUUAUAAAUUUUCUAUUUUGACUUUUGAGACAUAAUCCAGAGAAGUUUCACUUGAAGAACCUGGUUCAUCAAAUUAUGCUCAUGAGAAAGUUCAGGUAUGUUUCUAUUAUUUGCACAAUUAGAAAAAUUUAAUUAUCAAUCGUGAGCAAGAUUCCUAGAUAUACCAAACGUCCUAGCUAUUCUAUCCGUUAGGCAAAUUGAACCAGUUUCAUUGAAACUAGAAGUCUAAGUAUAAUAGAACCUUCUCCUAAAUUUUAGCAAUUCUAAUUAAUCUCUAAGAAGAUCGAAACUCUAAAUUGAUUUGACCUCUAUGUCACCUGUAAAAAAGCUGCCUUUUCUGAGUAAUCAUUACCCUCUUUAAAAACCCCAAUACACUCAAUAACCGUCAAUUCUUCACAAACCCCUAAUCAUCCUCUGUCGUCUCUGAAACUCUCCAAAGUUCUUCACACAACCAAAAAUCCCUUAACGGAUUCAGAAAAUCUUUACCAUGACAAAUCCCCAAGACUAUCCUGGCACUCUACCACCAGUCGAAACCCCAAAACCUAGAUUCCGUCACCAGAAAAUGCUAGAAAGAAAAACUGUAGCUACUGGUUCUCUGAGGAAAGAUUUGAAUGAAAAACUUCUGUUCAGUCAAAAGAAAGCAGUCCCAGCAACCGAGACCAACUCUAGCUCUGAAUCUGAUUAUUACAUCUCCGCUAGUGAAGGACACAAACCUGAGUGUUUUGAAAAUGCCAAAACUAAAGAAACCCAAAGAGAGGUAAAGUCUUUUGCUUUUUCUGAUGUAUUUCAGAGGGAGGAAAAUCGAUCUGUGAUAGGGGCUGCUAGAGAUGUAGUUAGGAUUGACUCUGGGAAAAUGAGUAAGAAAAAGAAGAAUGAGCCUUUAGCCAUAUAUGGAAGUGGGGAAGAGGGAGUCUCGAAGUAAGUGGGAAGUGGAUCAGGUGAGGCUGCUGAGGGGUUGGUUAAUCUGAGCAAGCAACAAGAUGAACCUGGUUCAUAUGGGGAAGAGAACUUGGCUGAUUUGUUGAAGAAAGUGGGGGCUAGCUAUGACCCAAAGAAACGCAAGGCUUUCUGUCAUACCUCCUUUUUUGCUUACACCCCCGCAAAGGGAGCAUAAAAGAGUUUUUCCAUUUAAAGGACAAUCGGAACAAGAUUUGGUUAUUAAUUAUUCAGAGUCGCCACUUGGGAGAUUUAUGGUGUCCCAAGUCACCGAAUUGAAUCCCGAACCGAGUAAAAAUAUGACUUUGUUACAGUCUGCAAACCAGAAAUCCGAGUAAGGAAUUUAGUUAACCCGGGAGAAGUUUUUAGGCAUUCCCGGGUUCCAUGGUUCUAGAACGCUCGCUUAAUUGUUGCAUUUGAUUUUAUCUGAUUUUAAUACAUGCUAGCUUAUGUUCCUUUUAUUUAUAAACCUCUUUUACCAUUAUUUAUAUUAAAACACUUGCGACGUCGUGAAAGCGUAUUUCUAAUCACGUCACCACCAGUGUACACGUGAUCGUCGACACGUUUCGACUUCGUCGUGAUUUGGAUUUGGGUCACAUCAAAGCACACUCGAGUUUAAGAAGGUAAUUUAAUAAAAUCAAUGCACACUAUAGUUUCUAUUCCAUGUUCUGAGCUCAAACUUACAGCAGGAGUACGAAUAUGUACUUGGACAAACAAGAAACAAGGGAGAAAAUGAAGAUCAGCAGCUACAGGUGAAACAAUCGUUUCAAACAAUCAACAUAACACAGCAAUAAGAACUCAGCAGCCUCUGGAUGUGAAAAUUGGUCCAGGAAGUUUUUUAAAACCCAGUAGAUAACCCAGAUGCACCCAAAGAACUAGAAACCAGCAGAAAAUGCUCCAAACCAAUACGCAAACAAAUUCCAAACCAAGCCACAAGCAGAAAGCUAAAGAGAAAACCUCACAAUUGCUUGAAAAACCAAUAAAACAGUAAUUUUUUGUUAUUUUCUUCUUAGUAUAUACCUUUUUUUGUAUUUUAUUAUUUAAAUGUUAUAACUAAACUGAAAUUGAAAAAUGGAAUUAAAAUCUGAUUUGAUCUUAGCGAGUUUUUUGAGCGUAAAAAUUGUCCACCCUUUUACAAGGCAUUGAAUGCCUUUAUAUAGAAGUAAGGUAGGGCAGCAGUCAGAUUUUUCUUUUCUUCUCAGUCUUUGCUACUUUUAUUAAAUUAGCCCUCUAAUUCUCAGCUUGUUACUCAAGUAAAUACCCUAAAUCUAUUGAAAACUACACAUUAGUCCUUUUCUAGAAGCCUCUAGGGAACCCUUUGAGCAAGAUAAUCCUUAAACUACCCUUCAUCUCAAAAUAUCUGCACCCUCACAUGUCAUUCCAGCCUUACCCUUUAGAAGCUUCCCUAUAACAGAAAAUAUUCCACCCCUCAAAUCACCAAAACACCCAUGAAUAGCCUUGAAAUUACUAACCAAACCAUUACCCCAGUUAAAAAAUAACCCUCCAAUUUAAACCCAAGUAGAGAUGGGCCAGGCUUGACCUAACCCUUAUCGAGAGAAGCCCCAAAUCCCAAACCAUAUAAAAAUUCAACUGAUAAAAUGAGAAACAAAAUAGGUUAAUUAGUUGACUUCUUUUCAACACUUCGUCUGGACUCAAAUGACUAAAUUCCUUUUAACUAAAUAUGAGCGGCCAAUUUGAAUUAACCCAAGCUAGUUAUACGACUGGAAAGUAAGUCAUAACCUAACGGGCAAGAUGCACGAACAGAAACUUACGACAAUUUCUACAAAGAAACUGUAAAGCUCGCGGAAUAAAUACCACUACCAUACGAACAGGGAAAACCUAUAUUCAGUGUUUUAAAUCCCACCAAAUUUGACUAAGAAAUAAAUCUAAAGGGAACCAGAAGAGAGAAGCGAGGGUCAUAUAAACAAAAAAGAUGAACAAAACAGACGAAUGAGACAUGGGAAAGGUAAAAAUACCUAGGUAGCUGCACGAAUAGAGGUUGAUACUUCAGGAGACUUCAAUUCGACGUGAAAUAAGUAUUAACUGCAUGUUCUUUUAAGAACAAACAAACAAUACCCGUUUCAAGCCUAAUCGCUUACAAUAACUUGCAAACUUCGACGAUCUACUUCCUUCGAUUGAAACUUGAACCUUGUCUGGUUUGGCCAAGAUUCAGGGAGAACAAAAUUGGAAUAUGGCUCAGGGAGGGGUCACAGUUGCAUGGUUGAAUUUUGUGGUGAUUUGAGCUUCACUGGCGGGCUAGGGUUGCAGGUUUUAGGUGAGAUGAGGAAGAAGAACAGACAAGGGGGGUUGUUU
RNAcentral lists this long non-coding RNA (15621 nucleotides) under Nicotiana benthamiana. RNAcentral's name for it is "long non-coding RNA (NBEN_LNC012281)". The record is from RNAcentral. Lineage: Eukaryota; Viridiplantae; Streptophyta; Magnoliopsida; Solanales; Solanaceae.